RNAcentral lists this small RNA (18 nucleotides) under Aspergillus fumigatus Af293. Its description in RNAcentral is "putative Afu-364 ncRNA". The record is from RNAcentral. Lineage: Eukaryota; Fungi; Ascomycota; Eurotiomycetes; Eurotiales; Aspergillaceae.
CAGCUGUUGUAUGUUUUU